GACGAACGCUGGCGGCGUGCCUAAUACAUGCAAGUAGAACGCACAGUUUAUACCGUAGCUUGCUACACCAUAGACUGUGAGUUGCGAACGGGUGAGUAACGCGUAGGUAACCUGCCUGGUAGCGGGGGAUAACUAUUGGAAACGAUAGCUAAUACCGCAUAAUAUUAAUUAUUGCAUGAUAAAUAAUUGAAAGGUGCAAUUGCACCACUACCAGAUGGACCUGCGUUGUAUUAGCUAGUAGGUGAGGUAACGGCUCACCUAGGCGACGAUACAUAGCCGACCUGAGAGGGUGAUCGGCCACACUGGGACUGAGACACGGCCCAGACUCCUACGGGAGGCAGCAGUAGGGAAUCUUCGGCAAUGGACGAAAGUCUGACCGAGCAACGCCGCGUGAGUGAAGAAGGUUUCGGAUCGUAAAGCUCUGUUGUAAGAGAAGAACGGGUGUGAGAGUGGAAAGUUCACACUGUGACAGUAUCUUACCAGAAAGGGACGGCUAACUACGUG
RNAcentral lists this ribosomal RNA (504 nucleotides) under uncultured bacterium. RNAcentral's name for it is "partial 16S ribosomal RNA". It matches the Rfam family "Bacterial small subunit ribosomal RNA", at positions 28 to 507 of the family's 1533-position model. The record is from RNAcentral.